CCGUCACAUUCUAUGUUUCCUAUGUCCCUGCUGUCUGCUGUGGAGUUCGGUUUUUGGGACCGGCGUCCCAUUGCAGGCAUGGAGUGUUGGGUGGUCUGUGUGGCGUGAGGCACGGUGUCUGGCGGGCUCUGUGUGUAGCUGCCGCUUAGGAGAGCCUCCAGGCCAUGGAUCGUUGGCGCACAGUAGGCCGCGGUCCUGCGCUGCGGCUUGG
Pelobates cultripes (western spadefoot toad) is the source of this 211-nucleotide non-coding RNA. The record is from the annotation of a GenBank genome assembly. NCBI's taxonomy places the organism in Eukaryota, Metazoa, Chordata, Amphibia, Anura, Pelobatidae.